This 254-nucleotide ribosomal RNA is filed under the name uncultured bacterium. RNAcentral's name for it is "partial 16S ribosomal RNA". It matches the Rfam family "Bacterial small subunit ribosomal RNA", at positions 524 to 776 of the family's 1533-position model. The record is from RNAcentral.
GACGAACCGUGCGAACGUUAUUCGGAAUCACUGGGCUUAAAGCGCGUGUAGGCGGGACGGCACGUCGGUCGCUGAAAUCCCCCGGCUCAACCGGGGAACGGGCGCCGAUACGACCGCCCUGGAGGGGCGUAGGGGGACCUGGAACUUCCGGUGGAGCGGUGAAAUGCGUUGAGAUCGGAAGGAACGCCCGUGGCGAAAGCGAGGUCCUGGACGCCUACUGACGCUGAGACGCGAAAGCCAGGGGAGCGAACAGG